This 832-nucleotide ribosomal RNA is filed under the name uncultured bacterium. RNAcentral describes it as "bacterial SSU rRNA". It matches the Rfam family "Bacterial small subunit ribosomal RNA", at positions 8 to 863 of the family's 1533-position model. The record is from RNAcentral.
AGAGUUUGAUCCUGGCUCAGGAUGAACGCUGGCGGCGCGCCUAACACAUGCAAGUCGAACGGCACCCACCCUCGGGUGGAGGCGAGUGGCGAACGGCUGAGUAACACGUGACCAACCUGCCCCACGCACCGGGAUAGCCGGGGGAAACCCCGGGUAAUACCGGACGUCCCCGGGACGGCGCAUGCCGUCCCGGGGGAAGCCCAGGCGGCGUGGGAUGGGGUCGCGGCCCAUCAGGUAGACGGCGGGGUAACGGCCCACCGUGCCUACAACGGGUAGCCGGGUUGAGAGACCGACCGGCCAGAUUGGGACUGAGACACGGCCCAGACUCCUACGGGAGGCAGCAGUGGGGAAUCUUGCGCAAUGGGGGCAACCCUGACGCAGCGACGCCGCGUGCGGGACGAAGGCCUUCGGGUCGUAAACCGCUUUCAGCAGGGACGAGAAGAGACGGUACCUGCAGAAGAAGCCCCGGCUAACUACGUGCCAGCAGCCGCGGUAAUACGUAGGGGGCGAGCGUUAUCCGGAUUCAUUGGGCGUAAAGCGCGCGUAGGCGGCCGCGUAGGCGGGGGGUCAAAUCCCGGGGCUCAACCCCGGUCCGCCCCCCGAACCCCGCGGCUCGGGUCCGGUAGGGGAGGGUGGAACACCCGGUGUAGCGGUGGAAUGCGCAGAUAUCGGGUGGAACACCGGUGGCGAAGGCGGCCCUCUGGGCCGAGACCGACGCUGAGGCGCGAAAGCUGGGGGAGCGAACAGGAUUAGAUACCCUGGUAGUCCCAGCCGUAAACGAUGGACGCCAGGUGUGGGGGGACGAUCCCUCCGUGCCGCAACAACGCAUUAA